GGCAAUCUGUCCGAGUGGUCAAGGAGUACGUCUCGAACCAAAACGCCCGCGUGGUUCGACCCCCUCUGGGGGAGGAAACGUAUAGGCUCUGCCUGCACAGGUUCGAAUCCUGUGGUUGUCG
Molecule: transfer RNA, 121 nt
Filed under: Pseudozyma flocculosa
Lineage: Eukaryota; Fungi; Basidiomycota; Ustilaginomycetes; Ustilaginales; Ustilaginaceae
Description: Anthracocystis flocculosa transfer RNA-Pseudo(CGA)
Rfam family: tRNA
About the family: Transfer RNA (tRNA) molecules are approximately 80 nucleotides in length. Their secondary structure includes four short double-helical elements and three loops (D, anti-codon, and T loops).
Source: RNAcentral